This 74-nucleotide transfer RNA is filed under the name Camelus bactrianus (Bactrian camel). It matches the Rfam family "tRNA". From Rfam's summary of the family: Transfer RNA (tRNA) molecules are approximately 80 nucleotides in length. Lineage: Eukaryota; Metazoa; Chordata; Mammalia; Artiodactyla; Camelidae. RNAcentral also lists the same sequence under 2 other names. The record is from Rfam by way of RNAcentral.
GCAGGUAUAGCUCAAAGUGGUACAGUGCAUGCUUAGCAUGCAGGAGGUCCUGGGUUCAAUCCUCAGUACCUCUU